UAGAUGCGAGAGUAGAGCAUAUCAAUAAGCGGAGGAAAAGAAACUAACAAGGAUUCCCCUAGUAACGGCGAGUGAAGCGGGAAGAGCUCAAAUUUGAAAUCUUCAAGGUUCUACCUUGACGAAUUGUAGUUUAUAGAAGUGUUUUCUGUUAGUGGAGUGGCAAAAGUUCUUUGGAAUAGGACAUCAUAGAGGGUGAGAAUCCCGUAUUUGGUCAUUCCUCCUAGCGUUGUGAUACACUUUCAACGAGUCGGAUUGUUUGGGAAUGCAGUCCAAAAUGGGUGGUAAAUUUCAUCUAAAGCUAAAUACUGGCGAGAGACCGAUAGCGAACAAGUACCGUGAGGGAAAGAUGAAAAGAACUUUGAAAAGAGAGUUAAACAGUACGUGAAAUUGUCAAAAGGGAAGCGUUUGACACCAGUGUUGUUUUCUCGGAAAAUCAAUUAAAAAUGAGCGGAUGUUGUGUUGUAUUGACUUUAUCAGCUUUCUGCACUUUUUUCUUGUCUUUUUUAAUGCACUUUUCGUUUAACAAGUCAACAUCAAUUUCUUUUGUUGUAAAAGGGUCAUUGGAAGGUGGCUUUCAUUUCGGUGAAAGUGUUUAUAGCCUUUGACUUCUGCAAUCGGAGAGAUUGAGGUCUGCAGCGUAGAUCCUUCGGGGUUAGAUACAUUUGUGCUAAGUUAUAGUUUUUCAUAGACAACAUGUUGACUAUGAUUAAUCAUGUAGCUUACUCGCUUAUGCUAUUUUACCUACGCUUAGGAUGUUGACGAGACUGUCGAUCUC
This 775-nucleotide ribosomal RNA is filed under the name uncultured Neocallimastigales. Its description in RNAcentral is "partial large subunit ribosomal RNA". It matches the Rfam family "Eukaryotic large subunit ribosomal RNA", at positions 22 to 646 of the family's 3401-position model. The record is from RNAcentral. Lineage: Eukaryota; Fungi; Neocallimastigomycota; Neocallimastigomycetes; Neocallimastigales.